UCUUCAGAGUGAGCUUCAGAAGAGCUGUCUGCCCCAGGCCAACUCUCUAUCAACCGUCUGGAUGGGCUCUUUCAGCUCUGGAAUGGUGGAUCUAAGGCUGGAUUUCUGAAACUUUAAGAGCUCUUGAGUGAGUCCACACUACCUGAGAUCCUGUCCUGCGCAUCCCGAUGGAUGGACCUCUGACCAGACUGGGCGUGCUCUUCUUCACCCGCAGCGUCUGUUCUUAGCACCCAUUGUGGAACCAUCAGACAGCUGCUCCUUGCUUCCCCGAGGAAGAGCUGCUCUUCCAGCUAAACUCACUCAGGAUCCUGACCCCAGCUUCUGCUCUCCAUCCCGAGGCGGGGGCAGACAAGGACCGAGGGGCUGGGACACUGUGGGGGUCACACAGGUGCUGCUUUUCCCCACGAGGUGAGCUGUGCCCUCUCUUUCCGCCUGAGUUGGCUGGCAGCGAGGACAAAGGAUGUCAAUGUCCCCGACCUCAGUGGACGGAAUCUUGAAGCCAGCUUCCCCUGUUCUCUGAGAUGCCACAAAAUAGCCAGCACACAAAGUUUCUAAUAAAACAAUAUAAGAUAUGAGGUCAAGAAC
Molecule: long non-coding RNA, 585 nt
Filed under: Chinchilla lanigera (long-tailed chinchilla)
Lineage: Eukaryota; Metazoa; Chordata; Mammalia; Rodentia; Chinchillidae
Description: lncRNA (ENSCLAG00000025908.1)
Source: RNAcentral